GGGCCGGUAGUUCAGUCUGUUAGAACACCCCGCCUGCAACGGGGAGGCCGCGGGUUCAAAUCCCGUCCGGUCCA
RNAcentral lists this transfer RNA (74 nucleotides) under Thermococcus sp. RNAcentral's name for it is "tRNA-Ala". It matches the Rfam family "tRNA". From Rfam's summary of the family: Transfer RNA (tRNA) molecules are approximately 80 nucleotides in length. The record is from RNAcentral. Lineage: Archaea; Methanobacteriati; Methanobacteriota; Thermococci; Thermococcales; Thermococcaceae.